UACGUAGGGUGCGAGCGUUAAUCGGAAUACUGGGCGUAAAGCGUGCGCAGGCGGUGAUGUAAGACAGAUGUGAAAUCCCCGGGCUCAACCUGGGACCUGCAUUUGUGACUGCAUCGCUAGAGUACGGCAGAGGGGGAUGGAAUUCCGCGUGUAGCAGUGAAAUGCGUAGAUAUGCGGAGGAACACCGAUGGCGAAGGCAAUCCCCUGGGCCUGUACUGACGCUCAUGCACGAAAGCGUGGGGAGCAAAAGGG
Molecule: ribosomal RNA, 252 nt
Filed under: uncultured bacterium
Lineage: Bacteria
Description: partial 16S ribosomal RNA
Rfam family: Bacterial small subunit ribosomal RNA
Source: RNAcentral